UGCUGCCCGCUGCCCGGGCUGCUGCUCGGCUGCUGGGCGCGGGAUGACGCCACCUCUCGCUCCGCCACCUCUCGCUCCGCCCCGCCAGCGAGAACUCGCUCUUUGCGUUCAUUUCAUUCCUCUUCUCAUUCCGAGCAUUCUUCGCAUCUCUGUCAGUGCGCGAUUCACCUACACCUUCCUGGCUGGCCCAGAAACACUAGAAUAACUUGACAUAGUAUUAAAAAAAUACCCCGUAACAUCCCAUUUAAUCAAAAAGAAGGGACAAUUAUAUGAGAUAUCAAUAACGAGUUACUUGGAGAUUUCACCGGAGGAUUUUCGGACCACCUCGAAGAGGAAAACCACGGCGGAGAGAGACUUGUUGCUUCAACCCGUUUUGACGGUGGUUAUUAAAACCGUCAUCGAAGUUUUGUGUCUCUCCCUAGUUUGCUCCAGGCUUUAGCUUGGAGAGCCCAACCGCCACCAUUGAUCCCAGCAGCUGGAGCGGCAGCGAGAGCCCUGCCGAGGACAUGGAGAGGAUGAGCGACUCUGCAGACAAGCCCAUGGACAAUGAGGCCGAGGGGGUGUGGAGCCCCGAUAUCGAACAGAGCUUCCAUGAGGCCCUGGCUAUCUAUCCUCCUUGUGGACGAAGGAAGAUCAUCCUGUCUGAUGAGGGAAAGAUG
Long non-coding RNA from Notothenia coriiceps (black rockcod), 659 nucleotides. RefSeq lists it as uncharacterized. Lineage: Eukaryota; Metazoa; Chordata; Actinopteri; Perciformes; Nototheniidae. The record is from RefSeq and is a predicted model, not a curated record. The transcript is spliced from 3 exons.